Molecule: ribosomal RNA, 645 nt
Filed under: fungal endophyte
Lineage: Eukaryota; Fungi
Description: eukaryotic LSU rRNA
Rfam family: 5.8S ribosomal RNA (bases 181-334)
Source: RNAcentral
AUUAAAGAGUUCUAUAACUCCCAAACCCAUGUGAACAUACCUAACGUUGCCUCGGCAGGUCGCACCUACCUUGUAGCACCCUACCCUGUAGGGCCUACCCGGGAGGUGCGGGUAAGCCUGCCGGCGGCCCACCAAACGCUGUUUGAUAUUGAAUUCUGAACCUAUAACUAAAUAAGUUAAAACUUUCAACAACGGAUCUCUUGGUUCUGGCAUCGAUGAAGAACGCAGCGAAAUGCGAUAAGUAAUGUGAAUUGCAGAAUUCAGUGAAUCAUCGAAUCUUUGAACGCAUAUUGCGCCCAUUAGUAUUCUAGUGGGCAGGACCGUUCGAGCGUCAUUUCAACCCUUAAGCCUUCGUUGCUUAGUGUUGGGAGCCUACGGCAACGUAGCUCCUCAAAGUUAGUGGCGGAGUUGGUUCACACUCUAGACGUAGUAAUUUUUAUCUCGCCUAUUAGUUGGACUAAUCCCCUGCCGUAAAACCCCCAAUUUAUCAAGGUUGACCUCGAAUCGGUUCAGACAAACUCGCUAAAUUGAAGCAUCUUAGUCAGCGAAGGAAAAGAAACCAACAGGGAUUGCCCUAGUAACGGCGAGUGAAGCGGCAACAGCUCAAAUUUGAAAUCUGGCCCUCGGGUCCGAGUUGUAAUUUGU